AUGACGGUGGUGGUGAUGAUGGCGGUGGUCAUGGUAGCGGUGGUCGUGGUGGUGGUGGUCAUGGUGGUGAUGGUAGCAGUGGUCACGGUGGUGGUGAUGGAGUCAUUUAGCCUGGACAUUUCUAACACGGGACUUGGGGACAUCUCUGUGGAGGCCGGUGUCAUCUCAAAGCAAGUAAGUAAGCAAGCGUGUUUUAUUAUUAAUUUUACAGAUCCAUCUGCCGAGGAAUUGAGAAAGCUAAUGAUGUUGCAUGGAGGCCAGUAUCACGUGUAUUAUUCCAGAUCCAAAACAACACACAUCAUUGCCACAAAUCUUCCUAAUGCCAAAAUCAAAGAGUUAAAGGGAGAAAAAGUAAUUCGACCAGAAUGGAUUGUGGAAAGCAUCAAAGCUGGGCGACUCCUGUCCUGCAUUCCCUAUCAGCUGUACAGCAAGCCGUCCUCUGUGCAGAAGAGCCUCAACUUUAAUCCUGUGUGCAAACCUGAGGACCCGCUCCCCGGGCCCAGCAGCAUCACCAAGCAGCUCAACGACAGGGUAAAUCACAUAAUUAAGAAAAUUGAGACGGAAAGUGAAGUCAGAGUCAAUGGAGUGAACAACUGGAACGAAGAAGCUGCAGAUAAUGACUUUGAUUUUGUGGGGCUGGAGCCUGUCUUCCCAGGAAGGAAACAGAACGGAAUUCCGCAUCCCAGAGGUGGCCGUGCCCUUUGUAAUGGGCACGCCCACAGCUCUCACGGUGCCUUAAAAAGCUUGGACUGCUUGGCGCCCCCGGGCAGUGGUGUCGCCAGCAGGCUGUCCCCAGAGCCUGCCCAGGAGGAGGCCGCGGGGGCCGAGAGGAGCCGCGGCGCCUUCAGAGACUGCACCGUGCAGCCGGCCCAGCAGAGCGCCUGCAGCGCGGACGCUCUGCGGGAUCCACACAGAACUAAGCCCUUCUCCUCGCCACCUUUGCACAGUAACCCUCGAGUCAACGGUGCUCACCACUCCACCGUUCAGGGGCCUUCAAGCACAAAGAGCACUUCUUCAGUACCUUCCCCAAGCAGGGGGCGGCCCUCGGGGCCGCCCAGACCCUCGGACUUCAACUUCAUCUCGGACUUCUACUCCCGGUCGAGACUGCACCACAUAUCCGCGUGGAAGUGGGAACUGACUGAGUUUGUCAAUGCGCUGCAGAAACAGAGUAGUGGUGUCUUUCCAGGAAGGGAAAAGUUAAAAAAAAUGAAAGCAGGCAGGUCCGCACUUGUUGUAACUGACACAGGAAAUAUGUCAGUAUUGAGUUCACCCAGACAUCAGAGCUGUAUAAUGCAUGUUGAUAUGGAUUGCUUCUUUGUAUCAGUGGGUAUACGAAAUAGACCAGAUCUCAAAGGAAAACCAGUGGCUGUUACAAGUAACAGGGGCACCGGCAGGGCCCCUCUGCGUCCUGGCGCUAACCCCCAGUUGGAGUGGCAGUAUUAUCAGAAUAAGAUCCUGAGAGGCAAAGCAGAAAUACCAGAUCCAUCAACGUGGGAGAGUCAAGAUUCCGCACAGAUAAAUGGAAUUGAUUCUGUUUUGUCAAAGGCUGAAAUCGCAUCUUGUAGUUAUGAAGCCAGACAAGUUGGCAUUAGGAAUGGAAUGUAUUUCGGGUAUGCCAAACAGCUCUGUCCCAAUCUCCAGGCGGUCCCUUAUGAUUUCCACGCGUAUAAAGAGGUUGCACAAACGAUGUACGAGACGCUGGCCAGCUACACACACGACAUCGAAGCCGUCAGCUGUGAUGAAGCCCUGGUAGACAUCACCGAGAUCCUCGCCGAGACCAGACUCACGCCUGACGAGUUUGCGAAUGCUGUCCGCAUGGAAAUUAAGGACCAGACCAAAUGUGCUGCCUCUGUGGGGAUCGGUUCUAAUAUUCUACUGGCUAGAAUGGCAACUAGAAAAGCAAAACCAGAUGGCCAAUACCACUUAAAACCAGAAGAAGUAGAUGAUUUUAUCAGAGGUCAGCUAGUUACUAACCUACCAGGAGUUGGACGUUCCAUGGAAUCCAAGCUGAUGUCUUUGGGGAUUAGGACGUGUGGAGACUUGCAGUAUAUGACCAUGGCCAAACUCCAGAAAGAAUUUGGUUCCAAAACUGGUCAGAUGCUUUAUAGGUUCUGCCGAGGUUUGGACGACAGACCAGUUCGCACUGAAAAGGAAAGAAAAUCUAUUUCAGCUGAGAUCAACUAUGGAAUAAGGUUUUCCCAGCCAAAAGAAGCAGAAGCUUUUCUUCUGAGUCUUUCAGAAGAAAUUCAGCGGCGCCUUGAAGCUGUAGGCAUGAAGGGUAAACGCCUGACUCUCAAAAUCAUGGUACGGAAGCCGGGAGCCCCUGUAGAAUCCGCCAAAUAUGGAGGCCAUGGCAUUUGUGACAUCACCACCAGGACCGUGACUCUUGACCAAGCAACAGACAGUGCAAAACUCAUUGGCACAGCCACGCUGAACAUGUUUCACACGAUGAAGCUCAGCAUAGCUGACAUGCGAGGGGUUGGGAUUCAUGUGAAUCAGUUGGUUCCAGCGAAUCCAAACCCGCCCGCGUGCCUCAGCCACCCAGCGGCCCAGCCCAGCCACGGUGCGGGCAGGGCCCCGUCGGUCCUGGAGCUCCUGCAGGCCCAGCGGGCGAGGCGGCCCCCGGAAGAGGAGCCCGCAGUAUUUCUGGCUGCUGUGGAUCUGGAAAUGCCACCUGCCCCUCGAUCUUGCACUGUGCCGUCUCUGUCUCCACACCUGACGUCAGGUGUCGUGCCUGUCACUACCAGCAAAGCCGAGUGUGCCAGCAAGUGGAAUGGGCUGCAUUCUCCCGUCAGUUUAAAGCCAAGACUCAACUUGAGCAUAGAGGUCCCGUCACCUUCCCAGCUCGAUCGCUCCGUCCUGGAGGCUCUCCCACCCGACCUCCGGGAGCAGGUGGAGCAGGCGUGUGCUGUGCAGCAGGCGGAGCCACCAGGCGACCGGAGGAGAGAGCCUGUCAAUGGCUGCAGCACAGGGAUCCUGCCACAACCCGUGGGGACUGUGCUGCUACAAAUCCCGGCACCUCAAGACCCUAACAGUGACACGGGAAUUAAUUUAAUAGCCCUUCCGGCAUUUUCCCAGGUGGACCCAGAGGUGUUUGCGGCUCUCCCUGUGGAGCUUCAGAAGGAGCUGAGAGCAGCCUACGAUCAAAGACAGCGUCAGGGAGAACACAGCCCUCCCCAGCAGCCGGCCGGCGCCCCCGUGCCAAAGAACCCGUUACUGCAGCUAAAACCAGCAGCAGCGAAAGACAAGAAAAGAAACAAGAAAAAAAAUCCCCUCAGCCCCCAAAGAAAGAUUCAGAGCCCUCUGAAAACCACCCUGGUGAACAGCCCAGCGAAGACCCUGCCAGGGGCCUGCACAAGUCCCCAGAAGCUCCUUGAUGGGUUUCUAAAACACGAAGGUCCCACGUCAGAGAAACCUCUGGGAGAACUCUCUGCUUCCACUUCAGGUGUUGCUGGCCUUUCUGGGUUGCAGCCUGACGUAUCCACAAGUGUCAGGCCCCCGGCGCCCAACCUGGCUGGAGCCGUGGAGUUCAGUGACGUGAAGACUCUGCUCAGAGAGUGGAUCACCACCAUCUCAGAUCCGAUGGAGGAAGACAUUCUGCAAGUUGUAAAAUACUGCACUGAUCUAAUAGAGGAAAAGGAUUUGGAAAAGUUGGACCUCGUUAUAAAAUACAUGAAAAGGCUGAUGCAGCAGUCGGUGGAGUCGGUUUGGAAUAUGGCAUUUGACUUUAUUCUCGACAAUGUUCAGGUGGUUUUACAGCAAACGUACGGAAGCACAUUAAAAGUCACAUGAAGAUGAAUUACCAGGGAGCCUGGCGCUCUCCGCUAGCUGUGCCAUAAGUGCUUGUGAGGUAUUUGCAAAGUGCAUGAUAGUAAUGCUCUGAGUUUUAUAAUUUUAAAUUUCUUUUUAAGCAAAGUGUUUUGUACAUUUCUUUUCAGUAAGUGCCAAAUUUGUCAGUAUUGCAUGUAAAUAAUUGUGUUCUUUUACUGUAGCAUAGAUUCUAUUUACAAAAUGUUUGUUUAUAAAGUUUUAUGGAUUUUUACAGUGAAGUGUUUACAGUUGUUUAAUAAAGAACUGUAUGUAUAUUUUG
Molecule: unclassified non-coding RNA, 4090 nt
Filed under: Bos taurus (domestic cattle)
Lineage: Eukaryota; Metazoa; Chordata; Mammalia; Artiodactyla; Bovidae
Description: REV1 homolog
Source: RNAcentral